Molecule: long non-coding RNA, 712 nt
Organism: Magnolia sinica
Lineage: Eukaryota; Viridiplantae; Streptophyta; Magnoliopsida; Magnoliales; Magnoliaceae
Exons: 2
Source: RefSeq, a predicted model, not a curated record
UUCCCUACUUCGUCUUCCAUCGACAAAUCCUCCAUCGAGCAUCAUUCAAACGGCCCCUUAGAUUUCCAUCGACAAAUCCUCCAUUGAGCGUCAUUCAAAUGACCCCUUAGAUUUCCUCUCUCUCUCUCUCUCUCUCUCUCUCUCUCUCUCUCUCUGACAUCACUGGAGCAAUCAUCCCUGGCUGCCCUGAGUCCUUCCACCAAUCAGAGCAAUGUGAAGGAGGGCAGGGCCAGCGCCAGAGAUAGAGAUCAACAUCAAAAGAUCUAGCACUUACGACAGGGUGACAUCAUCGCUAUCCCUGCUAGUGUGGCCCACUGGACCUACAACGAUGGGGAGACCACGGUCGUCUUUGAUAAGAAUGAUGUUGUUGGGCAGAUGGUAUCAUCUUCCCAACAAACACUGAUGAAGCUAUGCACCUAAAAAAUAUAGCAGCUCGUUAUUCAUCAUUGGUAUGGUGGUUGAUUAUUUUGUAUUUGCUUUAGAUAAUAUUGAUUAUGAUUCUCAGGAAAUUUGUUUCUAUGGAGUUAAGAGAUAUGUUGUUAUUUCUGACAAUGCAUUGGAGAUGUUCUCAUGUCCCACUUACAGGUGAUUUGUGAUGCAUCUCCACAUCAACCUUAGAUCUGAUUCUCAUAAAGUGGAGUUAGGUUCCACUUCUGGGGAAUUCAAUCUACGGUCUCCCUGUUUUGAAUCUAUGGUUUUUACUUGAUUCUGA